Molecule: ribosomal RNA, 825 nt
Filed under: Triticum aestivum (bread wheat)
Lineage: Eukaryota; Viridiplantae; Streptophyta; Magnoliopsida; Poales; Poaceae
Description: partial small subunit ribosomal RNA
Source: RNAcentral
AUGCGCACCUACGGACGCCACAUCACCGGCAAGGGAGUCGGACUGGUUGUUGGCCGUGAUGAUGAGAUCGACCGCGUUAUUUCCAUCCUCUGCCGCAAGACCAAGAACUGCGCCGCGCUAGUUGGCCACGCGGGGGUUGGCAAGUCUGCCAUCGCUGAGGGCCUCGCGCAGCGCAUCGCCACCGGUAAGGUACCUGCUGCACUUGAUGGGGCACGUGUUGUGGAGAUCGACCUCGGGGCCAUGGUUGCCGGGACCGUUUUGCGCGGUAUGUUUGAAGAGCGAAUGAAGAGCGUCAUAAAGCAGGCAGAGAAUGUAGGCGGCAAGAUAAUUCUCUUCAUUGAUGAGAUGCAUGUGCUUCCUCGUGCUGGUGAUAGCCACGGAAAUACAGACGCUUCCAGCUUGCUGAAGCCGGCUUUGGCCCGUGGUCGUAUCCGCUGUGUAGGUGCGACGACUUUUGAUGGUUACCGCAAUUGCAUUGAGAAGGAUCCUGCACUUGAGCGGAGAUUCCAGAAGGUGCACAUCGAGGAGCCAAGCAUGCAGGUGACAAUCGGCAUACUGCAGGGGCUAAAGCAGCAGUACGAACAGCAUCAUGGCUUGGAAAUCCAAGAUUCUGCUCUUGUUGCUGCUGCCCAGCUUGCUGCCCGCUACAUCACCGGUCGUCAAUUUCCGGAUAAGGCUAUUGAUCUGAUUGAUGAGGCGUGCACUGCCAAAAUAAAAAGGGCGAUCUCUGAAAAUUCAUUGAAGGGAGCAGCUGUUGAACCAAAUGAUGUCGCACAAGGAGCAACUGUUGAACCAAAUGAUGUUGCACAAGUUGUGAGCCUAUAG